Molecule: ribosomal RNA, 514 nt
Filed under: uncultured Acidobacteriota bacterium
Lineage: Bacteria; Pseudomonadati; Acidobacteriota
Description: bacterial SSU rRNA
Rfam family: Bacterial small subunit ribosomal RNA
Source: RNAcentral
UUGAUCCUGGCUCAGAAUCAACGCUGGCGGCGUGCCUAACACAUGCAAGUCGAGCGAGAAAGGGGUAGCAAUACCCUGAGUAAAGCGGCGCACGGGUGAUUAACACGUGGGUAAUCUGCCCUAGAGUGGGGAAUAACACCGGGAAACCGUUGCUAAUACCGCAUACGAUCACGAUGUCUUCGGAUGUUGUGCUGAAAGGUAGCAAUUUCGCUCUUGGAGGAGCCCGCGGCUGAUUAGCUAGUUGGUAAGUUAAUGGCUUACCAAGGCUACGAUCAGUAUCCGGUCUGAGAGGACGGUCGUACACACUGGAACUGAGACACGGUCCAGACUCCUACGGGAGGCAGCAGUGUGGAAUUUUUGGCAAUGGGGGAAACCCUGACCAAGCAACGCCGUGUGGGUUAUGAAGUAUCUCGGUACGUAAAACCCUUUCGACGGGGACGAAAGCCGCAUGGCCUGACGGUACCCGUAGAAGAAGCCCCGGCUAACUCCGUGCCAGCAGUCGCGGUAAUAAGGU